AACGCACAUUGCGCCCUUUGGUAUUCCAAAGGGCAUGCCUGUUCGAGCGUCAUUUGUACCCUCAAGCUUUGCUUGGUGUUGGGCGUCUUGUCUCCAGUUCGCUGGAGACUCGCCUUAAAGUAAUUGGCAGCCGGCCUACUGGUUUCGGAGCGCAGCACAAGUCGCGCUCUCUUCCAGCCAAGGUCAGCAUCCACAAAGCCUUUUUUCAACUUUUGACCUCGGAUCAGGUAGGGAUACCCGCUGAACUUAA
Molecule: unclassified non-coding RNA, 250 nt
Filed under: uncultured Pleosporales
Lineage: Eukaryota; Fungi; Ascomycota; Dothideomycetes; Pleosporales
Also listed under: 1 other name
Description: sequence contains 5.8S rRNA gene, ITS2, 28S rRNA gene
Rfam family: 5.8S ribosomal RNA (bases 1-52)
Source: RNAcentral